Molecule: ribosomal RNA, 437 nt
Filed under: Parvimonas micra
Lineage: Bacteria; Bacillati; Bacillota; Tissierellia; Tissierellales; Peptoniphilaceae
Description: bacterial SSU rRNA
Rfam family: Bacterial small subunit ribosomal RNA
Source: RNAcentral
GACGAACGCUGGCGGCGUGCUUAACACAUGCAAGUCGAACGUGAUUUUUGUGGAAAUUCUUUCGGGAAUGGAAAUGAAAUGAAAGUGGCGAACGGGUGAGUAACACGUGAGCAACCUACCUUACACAGGGGGAUAGCCGUUGGAAACGACGAUUAAUACCGCAUGAGACCACAGAAUCGCAUGAUAUAGGGGUAAAAGAUUUAUCGGUGUAAGAAGGGCUCGCGUCUGAUUAGCUAGUUGGAAGGGUAAAGGCCUACCAAGGCGACGAUCAGUAGCCGGUCUGAGAGGAUGAACGGCCACAUUGGAACUGAGACACGGUCCAAACUCCUACGGGAGGCAGCAGUGGGGAAUAUUGCACAAUGGGGGGAACCCUGAUGCAGCGACGCCGCGUGAGCGAAGAAGGUUUUCGAAUCGUAAAGCUCUGUCCUAUGAGAAGA